Molecule: non-coding RNA, 247 nt
Organism: Pelobates cultripes (western spadefoot toad)
Lineage: Eukaryota; Metazoa; Chordata; Amphibia; Anura; Pelobatidae
Source: the annotation of a GenBank genome assembly
CACCAUGCACAUGCCUAGUAUUUGUGUAUAGAUUUGGCAUUUAAAUGAUGGGAUGUAUGGACAUAUACACACACAUACUGACACAGAUACAUGUACACAGUCAGAGCUGGGUAACCCAUAAGGUGCAUAAGCCGAAGGAUAGUGCAGCCAGAGGAGAUGGGAGUGAGUGCGGCAACUCCGGCAUGUGUACGAGCUGUGCUGUGAUGAGCCGCACAGGAAUAUUAAUCCGCAUCUGCAAACAGUGACA